CCCUUAGAUGUUCUGGGCCGCACGCGCGCUACACUGGUGCAUUCAACGAGUCUAAAACCUGCUCUGAUAGGGGUGGGUAAUCUUUUGAAUGUGCAUCGUGAUUGGGAUAGAUGAUUGCAAUUUUUCAUCUUCAACGAGGAAUGCCUAGUAAACGCAAGUCAUCAGCUUGCAUUGAUUACGUCCCUGCCCUUUGUACACACCGCCCGUCGCUCCUACCGAUUGAAUGAUCCGAUGAAUAUCAUGGAUUGAGGAUGCAAGUAGGUUCGCCUAUCUUCAUCUUCGAGAAGUGAAGUAAAUCUUAUCAUUUAGAGGAAGGAGAAGUCGUAACA
RNAcentral lists this ribosomal RNA (329 nucleotides) under uncultured eukaryote. RNAcentral describes it as "partial 18S ribosomal RNA". It matches the Rfam family "Eukaryotic small subunit ribosomal RNA", at positions 1470 to 1796 of the family's 1831-position model. The record is from RNAcentral.